CGGUUGAUCCUGCCAGAGGCCGCUGCUAUCCGGCUGGGACUAAGCCAUGCUAGUCUAGGGGCUUGUACUCCUUUGGGGGUGCAAGCACCGGCGGACGGCUCAGUAACACGUGGACAACCUGCCCUCGGGUGGGGGAUAACCCCGGGAAACUGGGGCUAAUCCCCCAUAGGUGAUGGGUGCUGGAAUGCCCCAUCUCCGAAAGCGCUUAGCGCCCGAGGAUGGGUCUGCGGCGGAUUAGGUAGUUGGUGGGGUAACGGCCCACCAAGCCUAAGAUCCGUACGGGCUGUGGGAGCAGGAGCCCGGAGAUGGACCCUGAGACAAGGGUCCAGGCCCUACGGGGCGCAGCAGGCGCGAAACCUCCGCAAUGCGGGAAACCGCGACGGGGUUAGCCGGAGUGCCCGUGCAUUGCACGGGCUGUCGGGGUGCCUAAACAGCACCCCAUAGCAAGGGCCGGGCAAGGCCGGUGGCAGCCGCCGCGGUAAGACCGGCGGCCCGAGUGGCGGCCACUCUUAUUGGGCCUAAAGCGUCCGUAGCCGGCCCAGUAAGUCCCCCCGGAAAUCUGGUCGCUUAACGAUCAGACUUCCGGGGGAUACUGCUGGGCUAGGGACCGGGAGAGGCCGAGGGUAUUCCCGGGG
RNAcentral lists this ribosomal RNA (635 nucleotides) under uncultured archaeon. RNAcentral's name for it is "bacterial SSU rRNA". It matches the Rfam family "Archaeal small subunit ribosomal RNA", at positions 5 to 626 of the family's 1478-position model. The record is from RNAcentral.